Molecule: ribosomal RNA, 194 nt
Filed under: uncultured bacterium
Lineage: Bacteria
Description: partial 16S ribosomal RNA
Rfam family: Bacterial small subunit ribosomal RNA
Source: RNAcentral
CAACUCGACUACAUGAAGCUGGAAUCGCUAGUAAUCGCGAAUCAGAAUGUCGCGGUGAAUACGUUCCCGGGUCUUGUACACACCGCCCGUCACACCAUGAGAGUCGAUAACACCCGAAGCCUGUGAGCUAACCUUUUAGGAGGCAGCAGUCGAAGGUGGGGUUNAUGAUUGGGGUGAAGUCGUAACAAGGUACC